This 69-nucleotide transfer RNA is filed under the name Cynoponticus ferox (Guinea pike conger). RNAcentral describes it as "tRNA-His". It matches the Rfam family "tRNA". Rfam says of the family: Transfer RNA (tRNA) molecules are approximately 80 nucleotides in length. Their secondary structure includes four short double-helical elements and three loops (D, anti-codon, and T loops). The record is from RNAcentral. Lineage: Eukaryota; Metazoa; Chordata; Actinopteri; Anguilliformes; Muraenesocidae.
GUAAAUAUAGUUAAAAAAGAACAUUAGAUUGUGAUUCUAAAAAUAGAGGAUAAAACCCUCUUGUUUACC